CAAUGGGCGCAAGCCUGAUGGAGCAACACCGCGUGAGUGAAGAAGGGUUUCGGCUCGUAAAGCUCUGUUGUUAAAGAAGAACACGUAUGAGAGUAACUGUUCAUGCGUUGACGGUAUUUAACCAGAAAGUCACGGCUAACUACGUGCCAGCAGCCGCGGUAAUACGUAGGUGGCAAGCGUUAUCCGGAUUUAUUGGGCGUAAAGAGAGUGCAGGCGGUUUUCUAAGUCUGAUGUGAAAGCCUUCGGCUUAACCGGAGAAGUGCAUAGGAAACUGGAUAACUUGAGUGCAGAAGAGGGUAGUGGAACUCCAUGUGUAGCGGUGGAAUGCGUAGAUAUAUGGAAGAACACCAGUGGCGAAGGCGGCUACCUUGUCUGCAACUGACGCUGAGACUCGAAAGCAUGGGUAGCGAACAGGAUUAGAUACCCUGGUAGUCCAUGCCGUAAACGAUGAGUGCUAGGUGUUGGAGGGUUUCCGCCCUUCAGUGCCGGAGCUAACGCAUUAAGCACUCCGCCUGGGGAGUACGACCGCAAGGUUGAAACUCAAAGGAAUUGACGGGGGCCCGCACAAGCGGUGGAGCAUGUGGUUUAAUUCGAAGCUACGCGAGAACCU
RNAcentral lists this ribosomal RNA (610 nucleotides) under Limosilactobacillus fermentum. RNAcentral's name for it is "bacterial SSU rRNA". It matches the Rfam family "Bacterial small subunit ribosomal RNA", at positions 369 to 971 of the family's 1533-position model. Lineage: Bacteria; Bacillati; Bacillota; Bacilli; Lactobacillales; Lactobacillaceae. The record is from RNAcentral.